RNAcentral lists this ribosomal RNA (609 nucleotides) under Erysiphe galii. Its description in RNAcentral is "eukaryotic LSU rRNA". It matches the Rfam family "Eukaryotic large subunit ribosomal RNA", at positions 102 to 779 of the family's 3401-position model. The record is from RNAcentral. Lineage: Eukaryota; Fungi; Ascomycota; Leotiomycetes; Helotiales; Erysiphaceae.
UAACAGCUCAAAUUUGAAAUCUGGCUCCUUCGGAGUCCGAGUUGUAAUUUGUAGAAGAUGCUUUGGGUUGCAGGUUUGGUCUAAGUUCCUUGGAACAGGGCGUCAUAGAGGGUGAGAAUCCCGUAUGCGGCCGUGACCUGUGCCCGUGUAAAGCUCUUUCGACGAGUCGAGUUGUUUGGGAAUGCAGCUCAAAAUGGGUGGUAAAUUUCAUCUAAAGAAAAGCACUUUGGAAAGAGAGUUAAACAGUACGUGAAAUUGUUGAAAGGGAAGCGCUUGCAACCAGACUUGGGCGUCGUGGAUCAUCCGAGGUUCUCCUCGGUGCACUCGACGACGCGCAGGCCAGCAUCGGUUCGGAUGGCUGGAAAAAGGUCCUAGAAAUGUAGCUCCUCGCGGGGAGUGUUAUAGUCUAGGGCGCAAUGCAGCCCAACUGGACCGAGGACCGCGCUUCGGCUAGGAUGCUGGCGUAAUGGUUGUAAGCGACCCGUCUUGAAACACGGACCAAGGAGUCUAACAUCUAUGCGAGUGUUUGGGCGUUAAACCCAUACGCGGAAUGAAAGUGAACGUAGGUGAGAACCCGUAUGGGGGCAUCAUCGACCGAUCCUGAAUCUU